Molecule: non-coding RNA, 92 nt
Organism: Rhizopogon salebrosus TDB-379
Lineage: Eukaryota; Fungi; Basidiomycota; Agaricomycetes; Boletales; Rhizopogonaceae
Source: the annotation of a GenBank genome assembly
UCUCUGGUAGUAUAUCGGAUAGUACACCCGCCUGUCAUGUCGUAGUCACCACAGGUGCGCGGGAGAGCGGGGUUCGACUCCCCGCCAGAGAG